GCUCACUCUGGUAGCAUACUGUUUACUAAAAUUGAUACAGAGAUUAGCAUGGCCCCUGAACAAAGAUGACAUGCAAAUUCAUGAAGUGUUCCAAAUAUUU
Small nuclear RNA from Camelus dromedarius (Arabian camel), 100 nucleotides. NCBI's taxonomy places the organism in Eukaryota, Metazoa, Chordata, Mammalia, Artiodactyla, Camelidae. The record is from Ensembl.